This 670-nucleotide ribosomal RNA is filed under the name Xylariomycetidae sp. genotype 361. RNAcentral's name for it is "eukaryotic LSU rRNA". The stretch from base 93 to 670 matches the Rfam family "Eukaryotic large subunit ribosomal RNA", at positions 1 to 589 of the family's 3401-position model. The record is from RNAcentral. Lineage: Eukaryota; Fungi; Ascomycota; Sordariomycetes.
GGCAGAGUUGUGGUAGACUCUAAGCGUAGUAAUUUGUUCUCGCUUCUGAAGCUGCCGCGGCUAUCGCCACAAACCUUUUAUCUUCCAGUGGUUGACCUCGGAUCAGGUAGGAAUACCCGCUGAACUUAAGCAUAUCAAUAAGCGGAGGAAAAGAAACCAACAGGGAUUGCCCUAGUAACGGCGAGUGAAGCGGCAACAGCUCAAAUUUGAAAUCUGGCUCUCGGGCCCGAAUUGUAAUUUGUAGAGGAUGCAUUUGGCGCGGUGCCUUCUGAGUUCCCUGGAACGGGACGCCUUAGAGGGUGAGAGCCCCGUACAGUUGGACGCCUAGCCUUUGUAAUGCUCCUUCGACGAGUCGAGUAGUUUGGGAAUGCUGCUCUAAAUGGGAGGUAAAUUUCUUCUAAAGCUAAAUACCGGCCAGAGACCGAUAGCGCACAAGUAGAGUGAUCGAAAGAUGAAAAGCACUUUGAAAAGAGGGUUAAAUAGCACGUGAAAUUGUUGAAAGGGAAGCGUUUGCGACCAGACUUUUUCCUGGCGGAUCAUCUGGUGUUCUCACCGGUGCACUUCGCCUGGUUUAGGCCAGCGUCGAUUUCUGGGGGGGGAUAAAGGCUCUGGGAACGUGACUCCUCCGGGAGUGUUAUAGCCCUCUGCGUAAUACCCCCCUGGGGAUCGA